Molecule: ribosomal RNA, 3008 nt
Filed under: Cupriavidus oxalaticus
Lineage: Bacteria; Pseudomonadati; Pseudomonadota; Betaproteobacteria; Burkholderiales; Burkholderiaceae
Description: 23S ribosomal RNA
Rfam family: Bacterial large subunit ribosomal RNA
Source: RNAcentral
GUUAUAGGGUCAAGCGAACAAGUGCAUGUGGUGGAUGCCUUGGCGAUCACAGGCGAUGAAGGACGCGGUAGCCUGCGAAAAGCUUCGGGGAGCUGGCAAACGAGCUUUGAUCCGGAGAUGUCCGAAUGGGGAAACCCGGCCCGAAUGGGUCAUCCCACACUGAAUUCAUAGGUGUGGGAAGCGAACGCGGCGAACUGAAACAUCUAAGUAGCUGCAGGAACAGAAAUCAACCGAGAUUCCCAGAGUAGUGGCGAACGAAAUGGGAACAGCCUUGUACUCUUUAGCAGCAUUGUUAGCAGAACGGGAUGGAAAGCCCGGCCGUAGCAGGUGAUAGCCCUGUAUGCGAAAACAGCGUUGUGGAACUAGGUGUACGACAAGUAGGGCGGGACACGUGAAAUCCUGUCUGAAGAUGGGGGGACCAUCCUCCAAGGCUAAAUACUCGUGAUCGACCGAUAGUGAACCAGUACCGUGAGGGAAAGGCGAAAAGAACCCCGGGAGGGGAGUGAAAUAGAUCCUGAAACCGCAUGCAUACAAACAGUCGGAGCCCCGCUUUAAGCGCUUUCGGCGAGCCUCACGCAGUGAGGAUCGUCAAAAGACUCCAGUGUGAAAUAGCACCACUGGCGCGCAAAGCGGUUUAAGCGCGAGAGCGCUUAAAGCGGGGUGACGGCGUACCUUUUGUAUAAUGGGUCAGCGACUUACAUUCAGUGGCAAGCUUAACCGAUUAGGGCAGGCGUAGCGAAAGCGAGUCCGAACAGGGCGUUGAGUCGCUGGGUGUAGACCCGAAACCAGAUGAUCUAUCCAUGGCCAGGUUGAAGGUGCGGUAACACGUACUGGAGGACCGAACCCACUAACGUUGAAAAGUUAGGGGAUGAGCUGUGGAUAGGGGUGAAAGGCUAAACAAAUCUGGAAAUAGCUGGUUCUCUCCGAAAACUAUUUAGGUAGUGCCUCGUGUCUCACCUUCGGGGGUAGAGCACUGUCAUGGUUGGGGGGUCUAUUGCUGAUUACCCCGCCAUAGCAAACUCCGAAUACCGAAGAGUGCAAUCACGGGAGACAGACAUCGGGUGCUAACGUCCGGUGUCAAGAGGGAAACAACCCAGACCGCCAGCUAAGGUCCCCAAAUAUAGCUAAGUGGGAAACGAAGUGGGAAGGCUAAAACAGUCAGGAGGUUGGCUUAGAAGCAGCCACCCUUUAAAGAAAGCGUAAUAGCUCACUGAUCGAGUCGUCCUGCGCGGAAGAUGUAACGGGGCUAAGCUAUAUACCGAAGCUGCGGACGCACGUAAGUGCGUGGUAGGAGAGCGUUCUGUAAGCCUGUGAAGGUGUCUUGUAAAGGAUGCUGGAGGUAUCAGAAGUGCGAAUGCUGACAUGAGUAGCGAUAAAGGGGGUGAAAGGCCCCCUCGCCGUAAGCCCAAGGUUUCCUACGCAACGUUCAUCGGCGUAGGGUGAGUCGGCCCCUAAGGCGAGGCAGAGAUGCGUAGCUGAUGGGAAGCAGGUUAAUAUUCCUGCACCGUCGUAUGAUGCGAUGGGGGGACGGAUCGCGGAAGGUUGUCCGGGUGUUGGAAGUCCCGGUCCCUGCAUUGGAGAAGGCGCUCAGGCAAAUCCGGGCGCGGGAUUCAAGGAUGUGGGGCGAGCGGCCUAGAGCUGCGAAGCAAUUGGAAGUGGUUCCAAGAAAAGCCUCUAAGCUUCAGUCAUACGAGACCGUACCGCAAACCGACACAGGUGGGCGAGAUGAGUAUUCUAAGGCGCUUGAGAGAACUCGGGAGAAGGAACUCGGCAAAUUGGUACCGUAACUUCGGGAUAAGGUACGCCCUGGUAGCUUGACUGGCCUGCGCCAGAAGGGUGAAGGGGUUGCAAUAAAAUGGUGGCUGCGACUGUUUAAUAAAAACACAGCACUCUGCAAACACGAAAGUGGACGUAUAGGGUGUGACGCCUGCCCGGUGCCGGAAGAUUAAAUGAUGGGGUGCAAGCUCUUGAUUGAAGUCCCGGUAAACGGCGGCCGUAACUAUAACGGUCCUAAGGUAGCGAAAUUCCUUGUCGGGUAAGUUCCGACCUGCACGAAUGGCGUAACGAUGGCCACACUGUCUCCUCCCGAGACUCAGCGAAGUUGAAGUGUUUGUGAUGAUGCAAUCUCCCCGCGGCUAGACGGAAAGACCCCAUGAACCUUUACUGUAGCUUUGCAUUGGACUUUGAACCGAUCUGUGUAGGAUAGGUGGGAGGCUUAGAAGCGUGGACGCUAGUUCACGUGGAGCCGUCCUUGAAAUACCACCCUGGUUUGUUUGAGGUUCUAACCUUGGCCCGUGAAUCCGGGUCGGGGACAGUGCAUGGUAGGCAGUUUGACUGGGGCGGUCUCCUCCCAAAGUGUAACGGAGGAGUUCGAAGGUACGCUUGGUACGGUCGGACAUCGUACCUAAAGUGCAAUGGCAAAAGCGUGCUUAACUGCGAGACCGACAAGUCGAGCAGGUGCGAAAGCAGGACAUAGUGAUCCGGUGGUUCUGAAUGGAAGGGCCAUCGCUCAACGGAUAAAAGGUACUCUGGGGAUAACAGGCUGAUACCGCCCAAGAGUUCAUAUCGACGGCGGUGUUUGGCACCUCGAUGUCGGCUCAUCUCAUCCUGGGGCUGUAGCCGGUCCCAAGGGUAUGGCUGUUCGCCAUUUAAAGAGGUACGUGAGCUGGGUUUAAAACGUCGUGAGACAGUUUGGUCCCUAUCUGCCGUGGGCGUUGGAAUCUUGACGGGGGCUGCUCCUAGUACGAGAGGACCGGAGUGGACGUACCGCUGGUGUACCUGUUGUCUCGCCAGAGGCAUCGCAGGGUAGCUAUGUACGGAAGAGAUAACCGCUGAAAGCAUCUAAGCGGGAAACUCGCCUGAAGAUGAGGAUUCCCUGGAGGCUUGACCUCCUUGAAGGGUCGUUCGAGACCAGGACGUUGAUAGGCUGGGUGUGGAAGCGCAGUAAUGCGUUAAGCUAACCAGUACUAAUUGCCCGUAAGGCUUGAUCCUAUAACCAGUGUGUUUCA